RNAcentral lists this ribosomal RNA (235 nucleotides) under uncultured bacterium. Its description in RNAcentral is "partial 16S ribosomal RNA". It matches the Rfam family "Bacterial small subunit ribosomal RNA", at positions 524 to 757 of the family's 1533-position model. The record is from RNAcentral.
UACGUAGGGCGCAAGCGUUAUCCGGAAUUAUUGGGCGUAAAGAGCUCGUAGGCGGUUUGUCGCGUCUGCUGUGAAAACCCGAGGCUCAACCUCGGGCCUGCAGUGGGUACGGGCAGACUAGAGUGCGGUAGGGGGAGAAUGGAAUUCCUGGUGUAGCGGUGGAAUGCGCAGAUAUCAGGAGGAACACCGAUGGCGAAGGCAGUUCUCUGGGCCGUAACUGACGCUCAUGCACGAA